CCCUUAGAUGUUCUGGGCCGCACGCGCGCUACACUGAUGCAUUCAACGAGCCUAUCCUUGACCGACAGGUCCGGGUAAUCUUUGAAUCUGCAUCGUGACGGGGAUAGAUUAUUGCAAUUAUUAAUCUUCAACGAGGAAUGCCUAGUAGGCGCAAGUCAUCAGCUUGCGUCGAUUACGUCCCUGCCCUUUAUACACACCGCCCGUCGCUCCUACCGAUUGGGUGUGCUGGUGAAAUGUUCGGAUCGGCCGUUUGUCGCGGUUUCCGCGUCAUGUGGCUGAGAAGUUCAUUAAACCCUCCCACCUAGAGGAAGGAGAAGUCGUAACA
RNAcentral lists this ribosomal RNA (325 nucleotides) under uncultured eukaryote. RNAcentral's name for it is "partial 18S ribosomal RNA". It matches the Rfam family "Eukaryotic small subunit ribosomal RNA", at positions 1470 to 1796 of the family's 1831-position model. The record is from RNAcentral.